Molecule: ribosomal RNA, 465 nt
Filed under: Vreelandella stevensii
Lineage: Bacteria; Pseudomonadati; Pseudomonadota; Gammaproteobacteria; Oceanospirillales; Halomonadaceae
Description: partial 16S ribosomal RNA
Rfam family: Bacterial small subunit ribosomal RNA
Source: RNAcentral
CCUACGGGCGGCUGCAGUGGGGAAUAUUGGACAAUGGGGGCAACCCUGAUCCAGCCAUGCCGCGUGUGUGAAGAAGGCCCUCGGGUUGUAAAGCACUUUCAGUGAGGAAGAACGCCUGGUGGUUAAUACCCAUCAGGAAAGACAUCACUCACAGAAGAAGCACCGGCUAACUCCGUGCCAGCAGCCGCGGUAAUACGGAGGGUGCGAGCGUUAAUCGGAAUUACUGGGCGUAAAGCGCGCGUAGGUGGCUUGAUAAGCCGGUUGUGAAAGCCCCGGGCUCAACCUGGGAACGGCAUCCGGAACUGUCAAGCUAGAGUGCAGGAGAGGAAGGUAGAAUUCCCGGUGUAGGGGUGAAAUGCGUAGAGAUCGGGAGGAAUACCAGUGGCGAAGGCGGCCUUCUGGACUGACACUGACACUGAGGUGCGAAAGCGUGGGUAGCAAACAGGAUUAGAUACCCUGGUAGUC